This 549-nucleotide ribosomal RNA is filed under the name Klebsiella pneumoniae. Its description in RNAcentral is "bacterial SSU rRNA". It matches the Rfam family "Bacterial small subunit ribosomal RNA", at positions 610 to 1156 of the family's 1533-position model. The record is from RNAcentral. Lineage: Bacteria; Pseudomonadati; Pseudomonadota; Gammaproteobacteria; Enterobacterales; Enterobacteriaceae.
GAACUNCUCCUCAUUCGAAACAUUGGCAGGCUAGAGUCUUUGUAGAGGGGGNUAGAAUUCCAGGGGUAGCGGUNAAAUGCGUAGAGAUCUGGAGGAAUACCGGUGGCGAAGGCGGCCCCCCUGGACAAAGACUGACGCUCAGGUGCGAAAGCGUGGGGAGCAAACAGGAUUAGAUACCCUGGUAGUCCACGCCGUAANCGAUGUCGAUUUGGAGGUUGUGCCCUUGAGGCGUGGCUUCCGGAGCUAACGCGUUAAAUCGACCGCCCUGGGGAGUACGGCCGCAAGGUUAAAACUCAAAUGAAUUGACGGGGGCCCGCACAAGCGGUGGAGCAUGUGGUUUAAUUCGAUGCAACGCGAAGAACCUUACCUGGUCUUGACAUCCACAGAACUUUCCAGAGAUGGAUUUGGUGCCUUCGGGAACUGUGAGACAGGUGCUGCAUGGCUGUCGUCAGCUCGUGUUGUGAAAUGUUGGGUUAAGUCCCGCAACGAGCGCAACCCUUAUCCUUUGUUNCCAGCGGUUCGGCCGGGAACUCAAAGGAGACUGCCAGU